Molecule: transfer RNA, 74 nt
Filed under: Tumebacillus permanentifrigoris
Lineage: Bacteria; Bacillati; Bacillota; Bacilli; Caryophanales; Alicyclobacillaceae
Description: tRNA-Glu
Rfam family: tRNA
About the family: Transfer RNA (tRNA) molecules are approximately 80 nucleotides in length. Their secondary structure includes four short double-helical elements and three loops (D, anti-codon, and T loops).
Source: RNAcentral
GGCUCGUUGGAGAAGCGGCUUAACUCAUCGCCCUUUCAAGGCGACAUUCACGGGUUCGAAUCCCGUACGAGUCA